Molecule: long non-coding RNA, 661 nt
Filed under: Oryctolagus cuniculus (rabbit)
Lineage: Eukaryota; Metazoa; Chordata; Mammalia; Lagomorpha; Leporidae
Description: lncRNA (ENSOCUG00000035606.1)
Source: RNAcentral
GGCCGCUGAUGUGGCUGGAGGACUCGGGGCUCCUGUCCAGGCACCACGAGACAGGUCACACCCCGCCCGGAUGCUGUGUCUGCCUGGGAGCAGCGGUAGCUGGAGCUCACUCAAGGUGCUGCGUGCAUGGUUGCUGAACUGCCUGGUGACCCGACAAAGGCCUCUGGCCUCAGGAUCACCAACCACCAGGCCCACACGAAGAGUUAAACCACAGCGGAAGGACACGCAAGAUCGAAUCCCAUCCCGGAAGUCUGCCAUCCUCUUAACACAUGGGAGCUACUCCAGGUGUGGCCUUCAAGGGUGGGGGACCCUGAAGAAGCACACAGAUCCUGAGGGCGGAGGCCUCAGCCGAGCUGCCACACCCAGCGCAAGGGUUCUGGGAGGUGAGUCGGGCGCUCCGUGUCCGUCACCCCCUCCCCAUGCCACUGAAGGCGUCUCUGACACAUGGAGGUGGUUGUGCUUGGGGAGAAACACCUUCAGCCUAGAUGCCAGCCGGUCAGCUCCUUGCAGUGGUGUCGUGGCCAGCGCCCACUCCCAGAGCCCCAGCACCUGCCCCGCGAGGCGUGGUCCCAGAGCCUCUGCCCACAGACUGGAUGGCACGUGGCCAGAAAGAAGAGUGCCCAUGCUCGCACAUACACACACCUCUUCUCUCGGCUCCUGA